UACGAAGGGGGCUAGCGUUGCUCGGAAUCACUGGGCGUAAAGGGUGCGUAGGCGGGUCUUUUAAGUCAGGGGUGAAAUCCUGGAGCUCAACUCCAGAACUGCCUUUGAUACUGAGGAUCUUGAGUUCGGGAGAGGUGAGUGGAACUGCGAGUGUAGAGGUGAAAUUCGUAUAUAUUCGCAAGAACACCAGUGGCGAAGGCGGCUCACUGGCCCGAUACUGACGCUGAGGCGCGAAAGCGUGGGGAGCAAACAGG
RNAcentral lists this ribosomal RNA (254 nucleotides) under uncultured bacterium. RNAcentral describes it as "partial 16S ribosomal RNA". It matches the Rfam family "Bacterial small subunit ribosomal RNA", at positions 524 to 776 of the family's 1533-position model. The record is from RNAcentral.